UACGUAGGCGGAAAAUUAAGUCAGUAGUGAAAUCCCGCAGCUUAACUGUGGAACUGUUAUUGAUACUGGUUUUCUUGAAUAUAGUUGAGGUAGGCGGAAUGUGUAAUGUAGCGGUGAAAUGCUUAGAUAUUACACAGAACACCGAUUGCGAAGGCAGCUUACUAAGCUAUGAUUGACGCUGAGGGACGAAAGCGUGGGGAGCGAACAGGAUUAGAUACCCUGGUAGUCC
This 229-nucleotide ribosomal RNA is filed under the name uncultured bacterium. RNAcentral describes it as "partial 16S ribosomal RNA". It matches the Rfam family "Bacterial small subunit ribosomal RNA", at positions 568 to 796 of the family's 1533-position model. The record is from RNAcentral.